RNAcentral lists this ribosomal RNA (1346 nucleotides) under uncultured bacterium. Its description in RNAcentral is "partial 16S ribosomal RNA". It matches the Rfam family "Bacterial small subunit ribosomal RNA", at positions 28 to 1381 of the family's 1533-position model. The record is from RNAcentral.
GACGAACGCUGGUGGCGUGCUUAACACAUGCAAGUCGAACGGAAAGGCCCUGCUUUUGUGGGGUGCUCGAGUGGCGAACGGGUGAGUAACACGUGAGUAACCUGCCCUUGACUUUGGGAUAACUUCAGGAAACUGGGGCUAAUACCGGAUAGGAGCUCCUGCUGCAUGGUGGGGGUUGGAAAGUUUCGGCGGUUGGGGAUGGACUCGCGGCUUAUCAGCUUGUUGGUGGGGUAGUGGCUUACCAAGGCUUUGACGGGUAGCCGGCCUGAGAGGGUGACCGGCCACAUUGGGACUGAGAUACGGCCCAGACUCCUACGGGAGGCAGCAGUGGGGAAUAUUGCACAAUGGGCGGAAGCCUGAUGCAGCAACGCCGCGUGCGGGAUGACGGCCUUCGGGUUGUAAACCGCUUUCGCCUGUGACGAAGCGUGAGUGACGGUAAUGGGUAAAGAAGCACCGGCUAACUACGUGCCAGCAGCCGCGGUGAUACGUAGGGUGCGAGCGUUGUCCGGAUUUAUUGGGCGUAAAGGGCUCGUAGGUGGUUGAUCGCGUCGGAAGUGUAAUCUUGGGGCUUAACCCUGAGCGUGCUUUCGAUACGGGUUGACUUGAGGAAGGUAGGGGAGAAUGGAACUCCUGGUGGAGCGGUGGAAUGCGCAGAUAUCAGGAGGAACACCAGUGGCGAAGGCGGUUCUCUGGGCCUUUCCUGACGCUGAGGAGCGAAAGCGUGGGGAGCGAACAGGCUUAGAUACCCUGGUAGUCCACGCUGUAAACGGUGGGUACUAGGUGUGGGGUCCAUUCCACGGGUUCCGUGCCGUAGCUAACGCUUUAAGUACCCCGCCUGGGGAGUACGGCCGCAAGGCUAAAACUCAAAGGAAUUGACGGGGCCCCGCACAAGCGGCGGAGCAUGCGGAUUAAUUCGAUGCAACGCGUAGAACCUUACCUGGGUUUGACAUGGAUCGGGAGUGCUCAGAGACGGGUGUGCCUCUUUUGGGGUCGGUUCACAGGUGGUGCAUGGCUGUCGUCAGCUCGUGUCGUGAGAUGUUGGGUUAAGUCCCGCAACGAGCGCAACCCUUGUUCACUGUUGCCAGCACGUUAUGGUGGGGACUCAGUGGAGACCGCCGGGGUCAACUCGGAGGAAGGUGGGGAUGUCGUCAAGUCAUCAUGCCCCUUAUGUCCAGGGCUUCACGCAUGCUACAAUGGCUGGUACAGAGAGUGGCGAGCCUGUGAGGGUGAGCGAAUCUCGGAAAGCCGGUCUCAGUUCGGAUUGGGGUCUGCAACUCGACCUCAUGAAGUCGGAGUCGCUAGUAAUCGCAGAUCAGCAACGCUGCGGUGAAUACGUUCCCGGGGCU